Long non-coding RNA from Phacochoerus africanus (Common warthog), 2562 nucleotides. RefSeq lists it as uncharacterized. NCBI's taxonomy places the organism in Eukaryota, Metazoa, Chordata, Mammalia, Artiodactyla, Suidae. The record is from RefSeq and is a predicted model, not a curated record. The transcript has 2 exons.
UCUCCUGCAAGGCCCUUCGUGCCGGGUGCUCCUGGGUGGCCCGCGUCCCCUGGGGGGCCUUUGAUGCCAUCGCCCUGUGAGAAAUUCCAUUUAUCUCUCAAAUACAUUUAAACCUCCAGGACAGCGUACCCCAGCUCCCCUUCCUCGUUGCCCCGAAUUCCGUGCUGUGGAAACAGCAGAGAGACAGCAGAGGCGACUAGAAACCGAAAAGCCACGGUCCAACCAAGUCCCAGAAGCGAGGGCAGACUUUCUAACAGCCACGCACGACACACUUGGUGAGAGUUCUGAACAGCCUAGGGGCUGAGUGGGUACUUUUCUCUUUCCACAGCCACUAGGGCCCUGCUCCGACCUUCGCUCUCGGGGGGAGUUUUACCCGAGAACAGGCUGGCACCCACCUGGAUGCAUGGGAGCAGGAACCUGCUAUUUUGGUGUCAGGAUGGAGCACUUGUGACCCAGCUAUUCGGAGGGAUUAAAGCCUCGGUAAAGGACAGGGGUCUUUGGUUUGGACAGGUAAGGGCAGGGCCCUUGUCAGGAACAAGGAGAGGGAGGAAGGCCAGAAGAGCAGGACGCUGGCGGCAGGGCGGGUGAAGUCCGGGGGGAGGGGGGAGGUGAGUCUGUCUCAGGAGCUGGCCGCCCGCCCGGUCCAACCUCAGCCUCCCCGCACAAAGGAGGCGGGGCUCUGCGUGUCAUCACUCAUCCUCUUUUUUGCAAUGUUGCAAAAAACGAGGUGGUGUAUUUUCCAACCGCUCCUGGAGAAACAGGGUUCCACCCCCACUUUAGAACAUUGGGCCUGGGGGGCUCUCCUUCAUGCCUUACUCCAGGACGAAUACUGAUUUCCUCUUUUUCUUUGAAAUGUUCACUCUGGGCCUGGCUUCCAAGCUCGCUCACUGUUUCCUAAGAUCAGGUGCACCGGGAGGCUGCGGCAGCACCUGGGAUGCUCAGGCAUCCGAGAAGGCGUGACUUCCGUGCAUCUGGCGUGAGGGCCUUUGCCUGUCCUCAGGCCCAGACUGCCCAGAGCUGUGGCCGCCAGUCACAAAGGCUCAGCGAGCACCAGAACGGGGCCAGUGGGACUUCAAUUUUUCAUGAGUUAAAAUGUAAUGGAAGCGGCCGCCCAUGGCUGGAAGGUGAAGAUAAAGGCCUUGCUUCUCAAAGUGUGGUCCCCAGAUGGGCAGCACCAGCCUCCCUGGGAGCCUGUCAGGAAUGCAGAGGCCCAGGCACCGGAACCUCCGUGUGCACUCGGCCCACGUCCCAGGGCUUGGUCGACCCGUCGGCUCCGGGGCCGCCUGGAUCUGCCACACGAGGUGCUGACUAACGCCAGCUCCGGGGGGUCCGGGCAAGCUGAGCUUCUGAGCACGGGACGGAUGCUCGAGAUCCUUCGGUGGCGAAGCUCGUCUCCGCAACAGAAAGCGAGGCUGGCAAAAGUCAUUCUUCAGAGACAGUGCAGGGCAGGAGUCUCUGAGCUGGAAGCUCGAGUUUAGGUCUUUCAGCGAGCGGAAGAGCAUCUUAAGGUGCGUGAUGCCAGCUUGGGGGCAACUCGAAGUCGUUGUUAUUUACAAGAACACGGAACUUCUACUGUCCAUUUAAUUAAGCGUUUCAAGGGAUUAUGAGUGCUUCACUCCCAAACAAUUCCACUGUCACUUGAUUUACUGACUUGGCUCUUUGCAGAAGAGGGUGGCAUCUUCUCAGUACCCAGAACGGUGCCUCCCACACAGGCACUGCUCAACGGGAGCUUCUGGACAGGUGGAUGGACGCGUGAAUUCAGUCACUAAUUGACUCCCCUAGUCAAGCGCUCUGCAGACCCUAAAUCACAAAAAACCGACGCAGGCGUUCCUGCUGCAGCGUGGCUGGCCGACACACAGACCUGCGAUUAAACGCGAGAGAAACACGGCACCGGGGUCCCUGCACGCAGGCGCCGAGGGUGUGCCUGCAGGACGGGGGAGGGUGCCUGCUCUUGGGAGACUUUAGACACUCCACGUGCACAAACUGGGAUCCGUUUGACGUCUGGGAAAUGGCCAAUCGUUUCGUGAACAAUCGAAUGGCCUACCGGCUACGUUACCAUUCAGUUUAGCUUCUCAUUUCGUCCGCUUUUUCUGAAGACGUAGCCAACCACGGCGUGUCACUGGUUGUCAUUAUUAAACCAGGAGGCAAUGCAGCGCCUACUCUGUGCAGUUGGAUCAAAGGACUUAAGGCCCAGGACCGGCGCAGGGAGGAGCCUUAGCCGUCAUCUUCUCUGCGCAGCCCCCUCGACACGAAGCAGUGGCGCCGCAGCCUCUCGCGGCGGGGGCUUUGCACCUGGCCACGGGGCCGGACCCUCCCAACUGUCCUCGGCCAAGUGACCCGAUCGGUUGUUCCUCUACGGCUGAAUAUACAACACGAUAGCGUUUUCACUGAUUUACUUAGAAGUCUCGCUUUUUAUCGCGUUGAGGGAACCGUCCUAAAACAUGAACUCGGUCCCAUCUGAAAUAUGAAGAGGUGAAGGCUAUGCUUUACAUUCAAAAGGCUGGGCGUGUUUUUGAGAUGUUAAUUCACAUACUGGAAAAUUAACCAUUUUAAAGCCUUCGA